GCCUUUUGUGGCAUCGCGCGCGUGCGCUCGAUACUCUCGCUCUGAUCAACUACUAGUUAGGGAUUUAGAACUUAGAUACACGCUACACAUGUUUUGGCGAUCCUCUUGUGUAUAGGAAAAGUCGUGUCAUAUUGUUUGUUACUAGCAGUUAGCACUAUUCUUUUCUUUGUGCUGCUAAGUAAUUAAAUUUAAUGAACUGUGGAA
This 204-nucleotide long non-coding RNA is filed under the name Setaria italica (foxtail millet). RNAcentral describes it as "long non-coding RNA (SITA_LNC002040)". Lineage: Eukaryota; Viridiplantae; Streptophyta; Magnoliopsida; Poales; Poaceae. The record is from RNAcentral.